CUGUCGCUUACCUUCUGGUGACUGGGGUUCCACCCAUGCGCAACCGAGAUUAACCGCUAAAGAGAUCUGACUCUUGGCAAAUUACAGUUGAGAGUCUGCUUGCUGUGGCUGUUUCCAUCCAUGGUGUGUCCAGCCCGUGGCCACGUCUCCACAGCCUGAUGUGUGUCUCUCUGGUUCACUCUACUUAUGCUGCCUGUGUCCCGAGGGGAUAGCAUUCCUUGGCAACUACCGCUGACCUCUGGUGUCAACAGUGUGGUGCAAGUGGGCACACAGUGAUCUAUCAUUGAUUAAGAACAAAGAGAAGACCUGAAAGGAAGACACGCCCUCCAGAGCUGGAUGGCAAGAACAUUGGCCUCAGCUGGGCGGAGGUGUCUGCAAGAACUACUCAGGUUGCUACAGGUAGCAACAUGGAGUUGGGCCUCUGGCUCUGGCUGUGCUGCUGCUGGUCCGGGGACACAGGUGCCUUAGAGCAUGAUCCCACCUAUGGUCUAACUGCAUUACUUCUUACACCUCGAGGUCUUAUCUCGGUUGCUUUCAGUCCCAGAGUCACCUCAGAACGAAUAGAAGAAUGAGGCCACUUGGAUUUGGAUUGAUACAAACCACGGAACAGAAAAGUCUAAGAAGCCCCUGGAUGCACAAGUCGGCCAUGUGUAGCUGAAUUGGAGACUGUCCUGGCCUAGCCUCAUCUCAUCUGCCCGUGUUGGGCACUGAGCUAGCUGUGCAUGCCACCCUCCAGUUUUUGGAAAGAGGAACAAGGCACCUUUGUGUACUGUGGUUUUCUUUUCUUUUCUUUUUUUUUUUUUCUGCUCCCAGACUCCUUUCACAGCUCUCUGGGCAACGCUCCCAUAUGUCCUUGAAUUGAUGCUGGUCCAGUCACACAUCACACGAUGGCUCCGGUUUUCUAGUUCACCACUGAGCUCUCUCUCUCUCCAGCAGCAUGCGGCUCACUUGCCAGGUUCAUUGCAUUUGUCUCAUAUCCUAAGCAUCAGGCUAGUUCCUGCUCUCUUUUUACUACCAGACAAAUUCCCUUGGACAAUCCCACCCUCCCAGGACACAUCCUUUGUUCCCAUUGUCAAAGAGAGGUCACCAUGAGUCACUCCUCCCCUUUUGGACUAUUUGAUUUCAUUUUCUGUCUCCUUGGAAAGGGGACUUGAUGUGACAUAACCACCCUUUUGAAUUUCUCCCUCUUUGUAAACCACUGUUGAGGUCAUUCUGCCCACUCCUGUUCUCCUGCCCACAUGCUCAAGAGAGCCUCCCUUUUACUCAGAGGCUGCUAAAAGCACCAGCUGCCUGAUGUUAUGCUUACUUCACUGGGGAAGCCAGCACUGCCAUUAAGUGGAAAUUGAAGUUGUUCCCUAACUCCACUUAACAGUAGUUUGGAUCAAGAGUAUGGUAGACUCAUAAGGACGAGCAGCACUGUGUUUCUUACUUCAGGUCGUGCUUUGCAUUGGGACCCUGAGUAAAAAGAUCAAAGUACCUUCUCACUGUCUUUCGUCCUACCAUCAAUGAAGACUGAAUGUGGGUUAGAAAACUUCUAGUUUGGGAUAGUUAGAAUAAGAACCUGAAAACUAAAAUGUAAGUUAACCAAAUAGCAAUCUUAGAGAAGUCAUGAAAUACUGGAUCUCAGCUAUUUUCAUUUUCUUUUUCUCCCUACUACUGUAACACUAGGGAAAAAAUCAAAUGAAAAACAUUAGAACAGCCUUUAAGUCUGUGAAAGCGCUAAUGGCAUCAUCAUAAUGAGAGAAUCCAAAAAUGAUUAUCAAUAUUACCACAUUUAUUAAUAUCUAUCCAUUAUCUAUUUAUCCAUUAUCUAUCAUCUAUCUAUCAUCCAUCUAUCUAUCUAUCUAUCUAUCUAUCUAUCUAUCUAUCUAUCUAUCAUCUGUUUAUGUAAAUGUGGAUACAUGCACACAUGUGUACAUGUGUACAAUGUGUGUGGAAAGCAGAGGUCAACCUGUAGAGUUUUUCCACAGAGUGACUGGCCAGCAUAUUUCUCAUUGGGAUUUAGGGCUCCCUGACUCAGCAAGGCUGUCUGGCCAGUGAUCCUCAGGUAUCCUCCGGUCUCUGUGUUCCCAGCACUAAGACUGCCAUAGUGUGCCAUCAGGUGUAGCUUUUUAUAAGCAAGUGCUAGAAACUGAACCCAUGCUUGCCCUGCCAGUGUUUUACACACUGAGCCAUCUCCCCAUCCCAAGAUUAUCCCUCUCUUUAACUUUACAUGCUUAUGAUUGUAUUAUUGUUUCUCUUUACAUGGAAAGGAAACUGAGGCUCAGGUAGAUUAAAUAAUUUGUCUAAGAUCACACAACUAAGUGACUUAGCCAAAAUGAGAAGCUAGAUAUAUUUGAUUUGUUUUAAAUCUGUUUUAUCUGCUAUACCAGGAUGAAUCUUCUUAGCCCCAAAUAUUUUGAGACUGCAUCAACCAGGCUUUAUACAGAUAAAGUGAAAUUGAGAACAUUUUCUUACAAAUUGGGACACCAUUUUUCACCUAAAGCCUAAUUUCUCUUGUUAGUUUCCUUUUCUUUCUUUUUAUUUUUGGCUUGUGCAGAUGUUGGCCAUGUCUUUGUACAUAGCUGGUCAAUUGACCAACUAAUCACUGCAGUAAAUUGUAAGCAUCACUUAGGCAGCUGUGGCUGCUGCGCUUAGCCCAGCAACUCUGGGCGGUUGUGAACUGUCUUGAUGGAUAGUCACUGCAAGCUGAGAGAUCUGCUCACCUUCGCUGUUAGACUGACUCCUUGUCUUGGUGUAACUUUUAGUGUCAAAUUCUAAAUAUAGAGUACAGUUAUACUUAAUUCAUGCUUUCCAAAGAGUAACAGCAAUUAUUAACUCACUGUGUUGACUUGCCUGGUCCACCGCUAAGAGGAAGCAAGGACACUAAUAGCAACCUGGACAGUAGGCUUACAUCACCAGUGCCUUCUACAUGAAGAAAGAACAUCACCUUUGUUUCUUUUUAAAUUUUCUUUCCUUUUCCUUGCUCUUCUUCCUUCCCUUCUAUUUCUUUUUUUUUUUAAAGCUUAGAUUUACUAAGAAAAGGUGUGUUUUUAAAGAUUCUUUGUUUUUAUUUGUAUGAGUGUUUUGUCUGGAUGUAUAUAAACACAUAGCAUAGACAAAAAGAGGGUGUCAGAUCCCCUGGAACUGAACAUAACCAUCUGGUUAUGAACCACUGAGCUAUCUCUCUGGCCUCAAGAAAAGGUACUGAUUUAAGACAAAAGGUCAAAAGAAACAAAGGGGAGUCCAGGUGUAGGGACCUGCCCCACCAGGAAUUUAGGUCACCUGUGAAGAGGUGGCCUGGAACCGAAGAAAGGUAAGUGCGCUGGCCCGUUCCCCAGCCUCCCUCUUACCAGGAGACAAUCAGACACAGCGGGGAGUCAAGUCAAACAAGAACUCCUUUGUUGAUAGGCAGUAAGCCUCUUUUAUACCAGAAAACCUCAGGACCCUAGGAGGGGGUGAAGGAACCAACCAAUCAUUUUAAAGGUCACCCUAUUUACAAGUUGUUUAUGCCCUGACAUCAUCUCAUGUUUUUGGCAUAAACACCUUGAGCUAACUUCCUUCCUCACCAUUCGUCUCUAAUCUCCACACAAACAACCCAAGCUAACUUCCUCUUAGCCAUCCUUUGUAUUUAUUCUCUGCACAAACAGCUUAAACUAACUUCCUCUGGUACCAUUUGUAUCCACUCUCUGCGUAAACAGCUUAAAGCUUAAGCUCUGUUUAUCUAAAUUUCUCUCGGCACCCUCUUUGCGCCCAUGUAUGCCCCACAUCCAAGGAUAAUAGUAUACAUUAAAGAGGAAGUACAGGCUUCUGAAAGAGGCUUUGACAUUCAUCUAUUCUUAUCUAUAGUUCCUGAAUUCUGGGGAUUCUUUCUUUCUUUCUUUCUUCCUUCCUUCCUUCCUUUCUUCCUUCCUUCCUUCCUUCCUUCCUUCCUUCCUUCCUUCCUCCCUCCCUCCCUCCCUUUUUCCCUCCCUCCUUCUCUCUUGCUUUCCUCUCUUGGUCAUUUUCUCUUCCCAUGUCAGACUGUGAAAAUUCAGCAAUAUUGAAACACGUGAAGAACAGGAAAAUGGGCAGGUGUGAAGAGGAAGCUUUCUUGUUGGUUUCCACAUGGAUACUCUCCCCUGUGAACCUUAUGUUAGAACAGGCUGUAUAGAACAUCUUCAGCUACAGUUUCGUCUUCUAGAUGAACCAAAGCUCUACUUUUGUCUUAGUUGCUCUCACAUGCCAGCAGUUUCAUAUCAUUCUCUAAGAGAGAGCAGAUCUCUACUGUGUGACCUCCCCGGGUCAGUUUCCAACCAACAGCUUCUCCCAUCUCAUGCUAGUGGCAUGCAAUUCAUCAGGACAUUUUCCUUAUAGUGCAGGUGUCUUUAGUUGCAAAAAGUAAAUAGCUUAACACAUCAAGUAAAACAGUAUUAAAAUUCAUCUGGUCAGCAAAAGAAGCAAUAGACAGUCCUAAUGUCUUCUUUUCUGAGUUGCAAACUCAAAUUAACUUUAACAUGUAUUUUCUUGUAUUUCAUUGUUCUUGGUUUAUAUUGCAAAUGCCUCCCUAAGCUUUUCCUCAGGUGUCCCUCUAGAAGUAGCUCAGUAGGAUUGUCUGAUUUAUUUUCAUGUAAUUUUUCUGUUUUUUAAUCCAUGUCUAUAGAUGAAAGUUCAAUCAUGAGAAAAUUUGUGAGUGGAACAAAUAUGAUAGUGUUUAAUACCAGAUCUCAGUUUUCUUUUGGUCUAAUUUCCAUCAUGUUGGCUCUUCUGACUUGUGUAGUUAAAAGACUGCUAGCCAUUCCAUUAUACCGCCUUUUCUAUAACUAUUUACUUCUCUUCCUCCUCUAAAUCUAAUGUGCUUAUAUUCUGCUAAAUUAAAAAACAAUUUAUUUUCUUGAUUUUAGCUGGCUUUGAUUUGUUUGCCUUAAUUCUAUGCCAGAUUCUCUCUUGUAUAAAUAUGUCAUACCCAAGAGAAAUUUGUGUUAAAAUUCAAUUAUUCAGUUUGUA
Peromyscus californicus insignis is the source of this 4965-nucleotide long non-coding RNA. RefSeq lists it as uncharacterized. The record is from RefSeq and is a predicted model, not a curated record. Lineage: Eukaryota; Metazoa; Chordata; Mammalia; Rodentia; Cricetidae. The transcript is spliced from 7 exons.